UACGUAGGGGGCAAGCGUUGUCCGGAAUGAUUGGGCGUAAAGGGCGCGUAGGCGGCCCGGUAAGUCUGGAGUGAAAGUCCUGCUUUUAAGGUGGGAAUUGCUUUGGAUACUGCUGGGCUUGAGUGCAGGAGAGGUAAGUGGAAUUCCCGGUGUAGCGGUGAAAUGCGUAGAGAUCGGGAGGAACACCAGUGGCGAAGGCGACUUACUGGACUGUAACUGACGCUGAGGCGCGAAAGUGUGGGGAGCAAACAGG
Molecule: ribosomal RNA, 253 nt
Filed under: uncultured bacterium
Lineage: Bacteria
Also listed under: 1 other name
Description: partial 16S ribosomal RNA
Rfam family: Bacterial small subunit ribosomal RNA
Source: RNAcentral